CCUACGGGAGGCAGCAGUGGGGAAUAUUGCACAAUGGGGGAAACCCUGAUGCAGCAAAGCCGCGUGAAGGAAGACGGUUCUCGGAUUGGAAACUUCUGUUCUUAGUGAAGUAUAAUGACGGUAGCUAAGGAGCAAGCCACGGCUAACUACGUGCCAGCAGCCGCGGUAAUACGUAGGUGGCAAGCGUUGUCCGGAAUUACUGGGUGUAACGGGAGCGCAGGCGGGAAGUCAAGUCAGCUGUGAAAACUACGGGCUUAACUUGUAGACUGCAGUUGAAACUGGUUUUCUUGAGUGAAGUAGAGGUUGGCGGAAUUCCGGGUGUAGCGGUGAAAUGCGUAGAUAUUCGGAGGAACACCGGUGGCGAAGGCGGCCAACUGAGCUUUAACUGACACUGAGGCUCGAAAGUGUGGGGAGCAAACAGGAUUAGAUACCCUUGUAGUC
RNAcentral lists this ribosomal RNA (441 nucleotides) under uncultured bacterium. RNAcentral's name for it is "partial 16S ribosomal RNA". It matches the Rfam family "Bacterial small subunit ribosomal RNA", at positions 338 to 795 of the family's 1533-position model. The record is from RNAcentral.